Molecule: unclassified non-coding RNA, 278 nt
Organism: Macaca fascicularis (crab-eating macaque)
Lineage: Eukaryota; Metazoa; Chordata; Mammalia; Primates; Cercopithecidae
Rfam family: Metazoan signal recognition particle RNA
About the family: The signal recognition particle (SRP) is a universally conserved ribonucleoprotein.
Source: Ensembl
GCCUGGCACCGUGAUACAUGCCUGUAGUUCCAGCUACUCAGCAGGCUGAAGCUGGAGGAUCACUUGAGCCCAGGAGUCCUGGGUUGUCAUGUGCUAUGCUGAUUGGGUGCCCGUGCUAAUUUCAGCAUCAAUAUGGUGACCUCCCAGGAGCAGGGAACCACCAGGUUGUCUAAGUAGGGGUGAACCUGCCCAGGUUGAAAAUGGGGCAGGUAAAAACUCCACACCUGUGAAUAGCCUCUGCACUGCAGUCUGGGCAACAAGGUGAGAACUCAUUUCAG